This 468-nucleotide ribosomal RNA is filed under the name uncultured bacterium. Its description in RNAcentral is "partial 16S ribosomal RNA". It matches the Rfam family "Bacterial small subunit ribosomal RNA", at positions 28 to 507 of the family's 1533-position model. The record is from RNAcentral.
GACGAACGCUGGCGGCGUGCUUAACACAUGCAAGUCGAACGGAAAGGCCCUGCUUUUGUGGGGUGCUCGAGUGGCGAACGGGUGAGUAACACGUGAGUAACCUGCCCUUGACUUUGGGAUAACUUCAGGAAACUGGGGCUAAUACCGGAUAGGAGCUCCUGCUGCAUGGUGGGGGUUGGAAAGUUUCGGCGGUUGGGGAUGGACUCGCGGCUUAUCAGCUUGUUGGUGGGGUAGUGGCUUACCAAGGCUUUGACGGGUAGCCGGCCUGAGAGGGUGACCGGCCACAAGGGGACUGAGAUACGGCCCAGACUCCUACGGGAGGCAGAAGGGGGGAAUAUUGCACAAUGGGCGGAAGCCUGAUGCAGCAACGCCGCGUGCGGGAUGACGGCCUUCGGGUUGUAAACCGCUUUCGCCUGUGACGAAGCGUGAGUGACGGUAAUGGGUAAAGAAGCACCGGCUAACUACGUG